RNAcentral lists this ribosomal RNA (512 nucleotides) under uncultured bacterium. Its description in RNAcentral is "partial 16S ribosomal RNA". It matches the Rfam family "Bacterial small subunit ribosomal RNA", at positions 28 to 523 of the family's 1533-position model. The record is from RNAcentral.
GACGAACGCUGGCGGCGUGCCUAAUACAUGCAAGUCGAGCGGACAGAAGGGAGCUUGCUCCCGGAAGUUAGCGGCGGACGGGUGAGUAACACGUAGGUAACCUGCCCCUUAGACUGGGAUAACUCCGGGAAACCGGAGCUAAUACGGGAUAAUAAAGAGAAUCGCCUGAUUUUCUUUUGAAAGACGGUUUCGGCUGUCACUAAGGGAUGGACCUGCGGCGCAUUAGCUAGUUGGUAAGGUAACGGCUUACCAAGGCGACGAUGCGUAGCCGACCUGAGAGGGUGAUCGGCCACACUGGGACUGAGACACGGCCCAGACUCCUACGGGAGGCAGCAGUAGGGAAUCUUCCGCAAUGGACGAAAGUCUGACGGAGCAACGCCGCGUGAGUGAGGAAGGCCUUCGGGUCGUAAAGCUCUGUUGUGAGGGAAGAACAAGUGCCGGGGUAACUACCGGCACCUUGACGGUACCUCACCAGAAAGCCACGGCUAACUACGUGCCAGCCGCCGCAGUAA